UACGUAGGGCGCAAGCGUUGUCCGGAAUUAUUGGGCGUAAAGAGCUCGUAGGCGGCUUGUCACGUCGGAUGUGAAAGCCCGGGGCUUAACCCCGGGUCUGCAUUCGAUACGGGCAGGCUAGAGUGUGGUAGGGGAGAUCGGAAUUCCUGGUGUAGCGGUGAAAUGCGCAGAUAUCAGGAGGAACACCGGUGGCGAAGGCGGAUCUCUGGGCCGAUACUGACGCUGAGGAGCGAAAGCGUGGGGAGCGAACAGG
RNAcentral lists this ribosomal RNA (253 nucleotides) under uncultured bacterium. RNAcentral's name for it is "partial 16S ribosomal RNA". It matches the Rfam family "Bacterial small subunit ribosomal RNA", at positions 524 to 776 of the family's 1533-position model. The record is from RNAcentral.